This 458-nucleotide long non-coding RNA is filed under the name Setaria italica (foxtail millet). Its description in RNAcentral is "long non-coding RNA (SITA_LNC002475)". The record is from RNAcentral. Lineage: Eukaryota; Viridiplantae; Streptophyta; Magnoliopsida; Poales; Poaceae.
UAACCUGCAUUCAACUUAUUCUAACUUAACUUGCCAUCCUUGUUCCUGUUAUUCUAAGCUGGUACUACCUGUGUCUAGAUUGUUUUGUAAGGGUAUCUGUGGACAAAUCUGCACAUACUUGGCUUCUGCUCCUGUAAUAGUCCUCGAAUGUUUGUAGCAUGAUAUUUGUCUGAACGAAAAUCAAUAGUUUUCUUCCAGGAUUUUUCUUGCUUUGGAGUUUGCAAGUUGCUGGCUACAUUCUCAGUCUCCUUUAGUGAUAGAUAGUGUGCUUAUCUGGUCUUUUUCUUUGCUAGGAAUAUCUGUAUUGUUUACAAAGUAUAACUGUUUGGUUAUCUAUCUUCCUCCUAGAGCCCAGGCUGACAUGUUAAAAUGGGCCAUUUGCAUGUUCGUACAUAUGCCUGAUGCUCUAGGAUUCUCACCACUUACAUGUUUGUUUUUGGAACUAAUGAGCUCAUAAU